RNAcentral lists this ribosomal RNA (216 nucleotides) under Glomeromycotina sp. RNAcentral describes it as "partial small subunit ribosomal RNA". The stretch from base 40 to 216 matches the Rfam family "Eukaryotic small subunit ribosomal RNA", at positions 686 to 864 of the family's 1831-position model. Lineage: Eukaryota; Fungi; Glomeromycota. The record is from RNAcentral.
GGGUCAGUAGGUUGGUCGUGCCACCGGUACGUACUGGUCUCACUGAUUCCUCCUUCCUGAAGAACCGUAAUGCCAUUAAUUUGGUGUUGCGGGGAAACAGGACUGUUACUUUGAAAAAAUUAGAGUGUUUAAAGCAAGCUAACGCUUGAAUACAUUAGCAUGGAAUAAUGAAAUAGGACGAUCGAUGCUAUUUUGUUGGUUUCUAGGAUUGACGUA